AAGGGUCAGCCAAGCUCCUAGAGCUAGUCCAGCCGAGUAGGUCUAUUCCCAUGCGACUGUCAAUUCGACUGUUAUUCCUUGAGACUCUUCCUCGAAAGCUGCGCUCGGGAAAAGGACAAUUGACGGGGCGACUCAGCCCUUGCUAGUCUGUUUCCACUCUCCGUAGUGUAGAGACAGCAAUGCAGAAAUUUGUGGAUAUGUUUGCCGAUGGCUUGACCAAAUAAAACAUUGAAACAUUUGAAGAUCCGCAGCGUUUAGGUGUUGAUUAAUUUCGACAAGCCAAUCGUCUGUAGUCUUCUCCAAGGAACAUGACUUUAGUCUUGUGGAUUACGCAUUUACUUGCGACCCAUCUAGUCUAGAGGAUUGUCUCCAGAGCAAAGCAAAACCGGCAAUAAGGAAGUCUUACUUGCUAGAUCCACCAGUAUGGUCAUGACAGGUUGUCUCGUACAACUGAGCUCUGGCUGUAUGGGAGAUAGUAAAGGAGACGAUCUACAACUUUUGUGUAACAAACACUUUGAACAUGGGCCCAACUUCGGUUGACGUCCGGUUCGUUGGCUUGUGAAGUACUCCUUCGGGUGUAUGGAACUUGCCUCCGUGAUAGUUACCUGGUUGAUUCUGCCAGU
This 623-nucleotide unclassified non-coding RNA is filed under the name Sympodiomycopsis paphiopedili. Lineage: Eukaryota; Fungi; Basidiomycota; Exobasidiomycetes; Microstromatales. The record is from RNAcentral.